CCAACAGCGAUUCCCUUAGUAGCGGCGAGCGAACAGGGACGAGCCCAGCGCCGAAUUCCGUGUCCCAAAGGGCAUUCGGAAAAUGUGGCGUUUAGGAGGAAUCUCUCCGAAGGCAGAUGGUGUCGCAAGUCCCCCUGAAUGGGGCUGUGAUCCAUAGCGGGUGCGAGGCCCAUAGCUGGUACCGUCUCCUUCGGGCGUCGCCUCCUUGGAGUCGGGUUGCUUGGGAGUGCAGCCCUAAUUGGGUGGUAAACUCCACCUAAGGCUAAAUACGUCCGUGAGACCGAUAGCAAACAAGUACCGUGAGGGAAAGUUGCAAAGAACUUUGAAGAGAGAGUUCAAGAGUACGUGAAACCGCUCAGAGGCAAACGGGUGGGCCCACGAAAGCCAAAUGCGGGGGGAUUCANCCGAGAGAACGAAGGGGCAAGACUGGCUGUUCANACGGACCGUGCCAGGCCGGGUCANNNNNNNNNNNNNNNNNNNNNNNNNNNNNUGGGCAGGACGAAGCCAGAGGAAACUCUGGUGGAGGUCCGCNGCGGUUCUGACGUGCAAAUCGAUCGUCAGACCCGGGUAUAGGGGCGAAAGACCAAUCAAACCAUCUAGUAGCUGGUUCCCUCCGAAGUUUCCCUCAGGAUAGCUGGCGUUCGAGGGAGAUCAGUCUCAUCCGGUAAAGCGAAUGAUUAGAGGCCUUGGGGCCGAAACGACCUCAACCUAUUCUCAAACUUUAAAUGGGUGAGAAGUCCGGCUUGCCCGACCGAAGCCCGGACGAAAGGAUGAGAGCGCCCANNNNNNNNNNNNNNCGGACAAGGAGAUCGGCCCCUCGGGGUCAAGUGCGGUAACGCAACUGAACUCGGAGAAGUCGACGGGAGUCCCAGRGAGAGUUUUCUUUUCUUUGUAAGGGUUUGGCUCCCUGGAAUCGGUUCGUCCGGAGAUAGGGAUGCURUUCCCGUAAAGCAUCGCGCCUCCUGCGGUGUCCRGAGCGCUCCUGUCGGCCCUUGAAAAUCAGAGGGAGAGAGUGUGAUUUUCUUGCCGGACCGUACCCAUAUCCACAGCAGGUCUCCA
RNAcentral lists this ribosomal RNA (1059 nucleotides) under Schizomida sp. MCZ IZ-132987 106345. RNAcentral describes it as "partial 28S ribosomal RNA". It matches the Rfam family "Eukaryotic large subunit ribosomal RNA", at positions 65 to 1870 of the family's 3401-position model. Lineage: Eukaryota; Metazoa; Arthropoda; Arachnida; Schizomida. The record is from RNAcentral.